UGAUACCGCAUAAGAUUGUAGUUUCGCAUGAAACAGCAAUUAAAGGAGUAAUCCGCUAUGAGAUGGACCCGCGUCGCAUUAGCUAGUUGGUGAGGUAACGGCUCACCAAGGCGACGAUGCGUAGCCGACCUGAGAGGGUGAUCGGCCACAUUGGGACUGAGACACGGCCCAGACUCCUACGGGAGGCAGCAGUGGGGAAUAUUGCACAAUGGGGGAAACCCUGAUGCAGCAACGCCGCGUGAGUGAUGAAGGCCUUCGGAUUGUAAAACUCUGUCUUCAGGGACGAUAAUGACGGUACCUGAGGAGGAAGCCACGGCUAACUACGUGCCAGCAGCCGCGGUAAUACGUAGGUGGCAAGCGUUGUCCGGAUUUACUGGGCGUAAAGGGAGCGUAGGUGGAUAUUUAAGUGGGAUGUGAAAUACUCGGGCUUAACCUGAGUGCUGCCUUCCAAAACUGGAUAUCUAGAGUGCAGUAGAGGAAAGUAGAAUUCC
RNAcentral lists this ribosomal RNA (491 nucleotides) under uncultured bacterium. RNAcentral's name for it is "bacterial SSU rRNA". It matches the Rfam family "Bacterial small subunit ribosomal RNA", at positions 164 to 670 of the family's 1533-position model. The record is from RNAcentral.